This 1236-nucleotide ribosomal RNA is filed under the name metagenome. RNAcentral's name for it is "bacterial LSU rRNA". It matches the Rfam family "Bacterial large subunit ribosomal RNA", at positions 1564 to 2808 of the family's 2925-position model. The record is from RNAcentral.
UGAAUACGAGAUACUACGGUGUCGAAGCAGUCUAUGUCAUACUUCCAAGAAAAGCUUGCACUGUCAUAAACAAAUAAUGCCUGUGCCAUAACCGACACAGGUGGGUAGGUAGAGUAUACUAAGGGGCGCGAGAUAACUCUCUCUAAGGAACUCGGCAAAAUGACUCCGUAACUUCGGGAGAAGGAGUGCCUUAUAUUUAUAAGGUUGCAAUAACAAGAUCCAAGCAACUGUUUAUCAAAAACACAGGUCUCCGCUAAGUCGUAAGACGAUGUAUGGGGGCUGACGCCUGCCCAGUGCCAGAAGGUUAAAGAAGUUGGUUAGCUUUUGCGAAGCUGAUAACUGAAGCCCUGGUGAACGGCGGCCGUAACUAUAACGGUCCUAAGGUAGCGAAAUUCCUUGUCGGGUAAGUUCCGACCCGCAUGAAAGCGUAAUGAUUUGGAUACUGUCUCGGAGAGGGACUCGGUGAAAUAGACUUGUCUGUGAAGAUGCGGACUACUUGCACCAGGACAGAAAGACCCUAUGAAGCUUUACUGUAACCUGAAAUUGAAAUUGGACUUUACUUGCGCAGGAUAGGUGGGAGGCUUUGAGAAUAUUCUUGCGGGAAUAUUGGAGCCAUCAGUGAGAUACCACUCUGGUAAUGUUAGAUUUCUAACUUUGUAUCAUUAUCUGGUCAAAGAACAGUUUCAGGCGGGCAGUUUGACUGGGGCGGUCGCCUCCUAAACGGUAACGGAGGCGCACAAAGGUUUCCUCUGAACGGGUAGAAAUCGUAUCUAGAGUGUAAAGGCAUAAGGAAGCUUGACUGUGAGACCUACAAGUCGAGCAGGGACGAAAGUCGGUCUUAGUGAUCUGACGGUGCUGAGUGGAAAGGCCGUCACUCAACGGAUAAAAGUUACUCUAGGGAUAACAGGCUGAUCUCCCCCAAGAGUUCACAUCGACGGGGAGGUUUGGCACCUCGAUGUCGGCUCAUCGCAUCCUGGGGCGGUAGUACGUCCCAAGGGUUGGGCUGUUCGCCCAUGAAAGCGGUACGCGAGCUGGGUUCAGAACGUCGUGAGACAGUUCGGUCCAUAUCCGGUGUAAGCGUUAGAAUAUUGAGAGGAGCCUUCUUUAGUACGAGAGGACCGAGAAGGAUGCACCGCUGGUGUACCAGUUAUUGUGCCAACAGUAAACGCUGGGUAGCUAUGUGUGGAGUGGAUAACCGCUGAAAGCAUCUAAGUGGGAAGCCCACCUCAAGAUAAG